RNAcentral lists this ribosomal RNA (430 nucleotides) under uncultured bacterium. RNAcentral's name for it is "bacterial SSU rRNA". It matches the Rfam family "Bacterial small subunit ribosomal RNA", at positions 355 to 776 of the family's 1533-position model. The record is from RNAcentral.
UGGGGAAUAUUGGACAAUGGGCGAAAGCCUGAUCCAGCAAUACCGCGUGUGCGAUGAAGGUCUUAGGAUUGUAAAGCACUUUUAAUCAGGAAGAUGGCUAAGUAUAGUAAAAUGAUGUUUAGUUGACGUUACUGAUAGAAAAAGCACCGGCUAACUCUGUGCCAGCAGCCGCGGUAAUACAGAGGGUGCAAGCGUUAAUCGAAAUAACUGGGCGUAAAGAGUACGUAGGCGGAAUAAUAAGUCGUGUGUGAAAAACCGGGGCUCAACCUCGGGACUGCAUACGAUACUGUAAUUCUAGAGUUUGGUAGAGGUAAGUGGAAUUUCCGGUGUAGCGGUGAAAUGCAUAGAUAUCGGAAGGAACACCAGUGGCGAAGGCGGCUUACUGGGCCAAUACUGACGCUGAGGUACGAAAGCGUGGGGAGCAAACAGG